AGGCUCGUUGUUCUCCCCUCCCCUCUCCUCUUCUCUCUCAUCCUCUCCCUUCUCUCUUCCCCCUCCAGCCUCCACUCCUUCGCCCGCUCAUUCACCCUCUCCCUCUCCCGCUGCCCCCCCUUUCUCCCCCACCUCUUUGUUUCAGCUGAGAACCAGCUCCUCGGGACAGUUCCCACACUGCAGUGCCUCUGGUGAGGAGACAGCGCCACUGAGGCCUCCUCUGAACUCCCAAAAUGUGACCUAUGCCAUCACCGAGGCCGCAGGAACAAGAGGUGGGUGUCCAUGACAUUGGUACCUGUCAUCCCUGUGUGCAGCAGGUGUGCCCCACCCUGGAGGCGGCAGAAGAAGGUAUGUGAGUCAUUGUGGGCUAGGAAGGUGGCUAUGUCCAGGCCCUCAGCUGCAGCCUGGCUGGCAAGCUCAGGUGUGACCCAGGCCCCAGCAGCCUCUGUGGGCCCAUCCUGCCCAUCGGUGCCACCGCUCAAAAACAGCACAUCUAUCGGCCCCAGCGGCCACCUUCUCAACUCUGCUCCAACACGCAGGGCCAGUUCCUGGUUCCGGCCACCCCUGCCCGAGCCCUGCAGCUGUACUGUGGGCUCGCCACCAGCCAGCAGGCAGACUGGGCCCCUUCCCCGUGCCAUGGUCUCC
RNAcentral lists this small RNA (645 nucleotides) under Pan troglodytes (chimpanzee). Its description in RNAcentral is "retained intron". Lineage: Eukaryota; Metazoa; Chordata; Mammalia; Primates; Hominidae. The record is from RNAcentral.